Molecule: ribosomal RNA, 122 nt
Organism: Cercocebus atys (sooty mangabey)
Lineage: Eukaryota; Metazoa; Chordata; Mammalia; Primates; Cercopithecidae
Source: Ensembl
ACCUUCAGCCAUUUGCUGCUGGUGUCUAUGCUAAUACCAUUCUGAUAUUGGAAGCUAAGCAGGGUUGGGCUGGGUCAAUACUUAGAUGGGAGUUCACCUGGGAAUAACAGGAGCAGUAGGCU